RNAcentral lists this transfer RNA (72 nucleotides) under Stegodyphus mimosarum. It matches the Rfam family "tRNA". Rfam says of the family: Transfer RNA (tRNA) molecules are approximately 80 nucleotides in length. Their secondary structure includes four short double-helical elements and three loops (D, anti-codon, and T loops). Lineage: Eukaryota; Metazoa; Arthropoda; Arachnida; Araneae; Eresidae. The record is from Rfam by way of RNAcentral.
GCCUUCGUGGUGUAGGGUCAGCACACUCGGCUCGUAUUCAAGAAGCUCGUGGUUCGAGUCCCAGCGACGGCA